AGAUUCUGGGUCGAAGCCCGUAA
RNAcentral lists this small nuclear RNA (23 nucleotides) under Arabidopsis thaliana (thale cress). RNAcentral's name for it is "snRNA_03629". The record is from RNAcentral. Lineage: Eukaryota; Viridiplantae; Streptophyta; Magnoliopsida; Brassicales; Brassicaceae.